RNAcentral lists this ribosomal RNA (230 nucleotides) under uncultured bacterium. RNAcentral's name for it is "partial 16S ribosomal RNA". It matches the Rfam family "Bacterial small subunit ribosomal RNA", at positions 111 to 334 of the family's 1533-position model. The record is from RNAcentral.
UAACACGUGGGUAACCUGCCCAUCAGAGGGGGAUAACAUUCGGAAACGGAUGCUAAAACCGCAUAGGUCCCUUAACCGCAUGGUUGAAGGAGGAAAAGAGGCGCAAGCUUCUGCUGAUGGAUGGACCCGCGGUGCAUUAGCUAGUUGGUGAGGUAACGGCUCACCAAGGCCGUGAUGCAUAGCCGACCUGAGAGGGUGAUCGGCCACAUUGGGACUGAGACACGGCCCAA